CGGGGAAUAUUGGACAAUGGGCGCAAGCCUGAUCCAGCCAUGCCGCGUGUGUGAAGAAGGCCUUUUGGUUGUAAAGCACUUUAAGCGAGGAGGAGGCUACUUGGAUUAAUACUCUAGGAUAGUGGACGUUACUCGCAGAAUAAGCACCGGCUAACUCUGUGCCAGCAGCCGCGGUAAUACAGAGGGUGCGAGCGUUAAUCGGAUUUACUGGGCGUAAAGCGUGCGUAGGCGGCUUCUUAAGUCGGAUGUGAAAUCCCUGAGCUUAACUUAGGAAUUGCAUUCGAUACUGGGAAGCUAGAGUAUGGGAGAGGAUGGUAGAAUUCCAGGUGUAGCGGUGAAAUGCGUAGAGAUCUGGAGGAAUACCGAUGGCGAAGGCAGCCAUCUGGCCUAAUACUGACGCUGAGGUACGAUAGCAUGGGGAGCAAACAGG
This 430-nucleotide ribosomal RNA is filed under the name bacterium. RNAcentral describes it as "partial 16S ribosomal RNA". It matches the Rfam family "Bacterial small subunit ribosomal RNA", at positions 355 to 776 of the family's 1533-position model. The record is from RNAcentral.